CUGUGGAAACACGGCUUUCCCGCAAGGGACCUGAGUCGAGGUGCUGCAUGGCUGUCGUCAGCUCGUGUCGUGAGAUGUUGGGUUAAGUCCCGCAACGAGCGCAACCCUUGUCCUGUGUUGCUAAUCGCAAGAUGCACUCUCAGGAGACCGCCAGCGAUAAGUUGGAGGAAGGUGGGGAUGAUGUCAAGUCAUCAUGGCCUUUAUGUCCAGGGCUACACACGUGCUACAAUGGACGGUACAAACCGCUGCAAACCCGCGAGGGGGAGCUAAUCGGAAAAAACCGUUCUCAGUUCGGAUUGCAGGCUGCAACUCGCCUGCAUGAAGCUGGAAUCGCUAGUAAUGGUAUAUCAGAAUGAUACCGUGAAUACGUUCCCGGGCCUUGUACACACCGCCCGUCACAUCACGAAAGUGGGUUGUACUAGAAGUCUGCGUGCUAACCGCAAGGAGGCAGCGGCCCAAGGUAUGACUCAUGAUUGGGGUGAAGUCGUAACAAGGUAAGCGUAGAUGA
Molecule: ribosomal RNA, 508 nt
Filed under: uncultured bacterium
Lineage: Bacteria
Description: bacterial SSU rRNA
Rfam family: Bacterial small subunit ribosomal RNA
Source: RNAcentral